GAUGAACGCUGGCGGCGUGCUUAACACAUGCAAGUCGAACGGGAAUUACUUUAUUGAAACUUCGGUCGAUUUAAUUUAAUUCUAGUGGCGGACGGGUGAGUAACGCGUGGGUAACCUGCCUUAUACAGGGGGAUAACAGUCAGAAAUGGCUGCUAAUACCGCAUAAGCGCACAGAGCUGCAUGGCUCAGUGUGAAAAACUCCGGUGGUAUAAGAUGGACCCGCGUUGGAUUAGCUUGUUGGUGGGGUAACGGCCCACCAAGGCGACGAUCCAUAGCCGGCCUGAGAGGGUGAACGGCCACAUUGGGACUGAGACACGGCCCAGACUCCUACGGGAGGCAGCAGUGGGGAAUAUUGCACAAUGGGGGAAACCCUGAUGCAGCGACGCCGCGUGAAGGAAGAAGUAUCUCGGUAUGUAAACUUCUAUCAGCAGGGAAGAUAGUGACGGUACCUGACUAAGAAGC
RNAcentral lists this ribosomal RNA (462 nucleotides) under uncultured bacterium. RNAcentral describes it as "bacterial SSU rRNA". It matches the Rfam family "Bacterial small subunit ribosomal RNA", at positions 28 to 491 of the family's 1533-position model. The record is from RNAcentral.